Molecule: non-coding RNA, 205 nt
Organism: Oryza meridionalis
Lineage: Eukaryota; Viridiplantae; Streptophyta; Magnoliopsida; Poales; Poaceae
Source: Rfam
AAUAAGUGUAGCCAUGAGUUUCCGCGCACAACUUUAAUUGUCCAUCUUAUUUGAAAUUUUUUUAUAAUUGAUAUUUUUGUUGUUAUAAGAUGAUAAAGCAUGAAUAGUAUUUUACUCGUGACUUAUGUUUUUAAUUUUUUAAAAAAAAUUUUCAAAUAAGACGAAUGGUUAAAGUUGGGCGCGGAAAACCAUGGCUAUAUUUAUU